Long non-coding RNA from Helianthus annuus (common sunflower), 526 nucleotides. RefSeq lists it as uncharacterized. The record is from RefSeq and is a predicted model, not a curated record. The transcript has 3 exons. Lineage: Eukaryota; Viridiplantae; Streptophyta; Magnoliopsida; Asterales; Asteraceae.
AGAUAAGUUGGUUGAUUUAUCAAAGGAAGCUAUUGAGGAUCUACUGCAAGUUCUUUCCAUGAAGUCUUUAGUUGAGUUGGAAGUUGGAGCGAGCAUUUGACAGUGAAGUUGAUUAAUCUAGAUUGUUACUCAUCAUGCAUGUGUUGUUGACAUCUGGAUGCCAAUAUGUCACAUUAAUCUCUGCUAAAGAAGACACCUCAAUUAAAAGAAAAGGAGAAGCCGCGAAAACCAGGUUCAAGUGUAGGUGUUGGAGCCCAAAUUUCAAACGGAAAACAUCGCUUGGGUUUUGGUUGAUGAGCAGAUAAAGCUACGCGCUCGAAUCGGCGGUGGUUAUGUCGCCGACAUCGAUUUGGGGCAAAGCGGUGGUGGUCGAUGUUGGUAGGUGACGCAGGUUUGGGGAAGAGCGAUGGUGAUUUGUGGUAGUAAGCUGGGUGGAUGCCCUAAAAAUGGAUACUGGUGGAGUGGAUGACACAUGUGGGACAUUGUUACGCUGUUAGCGUAACCCGUCCAACGGACGGGUAUUAAA